This is a transfer RNA of 72 nucleotides. It matches the Rfam family "tRNA". Rfam says of the family: Transfer RNA (tRNA) molecules are approximately 80 nucleotides in length. Their secondary structure includes four short double-helical elements and three loops (D, anti-codon, and T loops). Further hydrogen bonds mediate the characteristic L-shaped molecular structure. tRNAs have two regions of fundamental functional importance: the anti-codon, which is responsible for specific mRNA codon recognition, and the 3' end, to which the tRNAs corresponding amino acid is attached (by aminoacyl-tRNA synthetases). tRNAs cope with the degeneracy of the genetic code in two manners: having more than one tRNA (with a specific anti-codon) for a particular amino acid; and 'wobble' base-pairing, i.e. permitting non-standard base-pairing at the 3rd anti-codon position. The record is from Rfam.
GGGUUCUUGGUGAAGUGGUAUCAUUCUUGCUUUGGGUGCAAGAGGCCCCGGGUUCAAACCCCGGAGGACCCC